This is a non-coding RNA of Oryza sativa Japonica Group (Japanese rice), 478 nucleotides long. The record is from RefSeq and is a predicted model, not a curated record. NCBI's taxonomy places the organism in Eukaryota, Viridiplantae, Streptophyta, Magnoliopsida, Poales, Poaceae.
GUUUUUUGGGCAGCGGACGGACGGGACAGUGUCGUUAUCGCGAAGCUGUGCAGUGCGACGCUAUGCGAUGCGGGGCUACGUGAUGCAGAAGCGGUAGGCUAAUUUAAUUUUUGGAUCUACCUCUGGUUACACCUCCGGAAGAAAUGGUACACAUAGUAAACAGUACACACAGCCAGGAAUUCCAAUGUUCUCGUACAAGGUGAAACCGUACGUGAAAUGACCAGAUUGGUUAGCAUCUGGGUCCUCAGGAAUAAAUGGAUCAUCCAUGCAAUUAAUGGAGAUUUUUCCCAUAUGGAUGAUGGAAUCUUAACUGCACGAGGCCCCUCACAAAGGAGAGAUACCAGUUGUCACAUUACUGUGCAAACAGGCUGCAAUGUGGUACCUGUUGCCCCCCCCCCCCCAUAGGGCUUCUUUGUAAUAACAAAGAAAAAAUAGAGGGGAUUCCUAUAGAAAUAAUUGAUAUAUGGUCUUUGGAAAA